Molecule: transfer RNA, 73 nt
Filed under: Elusimicrobiota bacterium
Lineage: Bacteria; Pseudomonadati; Elusimicrobiota
Also listed under: 4 other names
Description: Elusimicrobia bacterium tRNA-Thr
Rfam family: tRNA
About the family: Transfer RNA (tRNA) molecules are approximately 80 nucleotides in length. Their secondary structure includes four short double-helical elements and three loops (D, anti-codon, and T loops).
Source: RNAcentral
GCCGAGGUAGCUCAACUGGCAGAGCAACGGUUUUGUAAACCGUAGGUUGUGGGUUCGACUCCCAUCCUCGGCU